CAACAGGGAUUGCCCUAGUAACGGCGAGUGAAGCGGCAACAGCUCAAAUUUGAAAUCUGGCUCUCGGGCCCGAGUUGUAAUUUGUAGAGGAUGCUUUUGAUGCGGUGCCUUCCGAGUUCCCUGGAACGGGACGCCAUAGAGGGUGAGAGCCCCGUCUGGUUGGAUGCCAAAUCUCUGUAAAGCUCCUUCAACGAGUCGAGUAGUUUGGGAAUGCUGCUCUAAAUGGGAGGUAUAUGUCUUCUAAAGCUAAAUACCGGCCAGAGACCGAUAGCGCACAAGUAGAGUGAUCGAAAGAUGAAAAGCACUUUGAAAAGAGAGUUAAAAAGUACGUGAAAUUGUUGAAAGGGAAGCGUUUAUGACCAGACUUGGACUUGGUUAAUCAUCUGGGGUUCUCCCCAGUGCACUUUUCCAGUUCAGGCCAGCAUCAGUUUUCCCCGGGGGAUAAAGGCGGCGGGAAUGUGGCUCUCUUCGGGGAGUGUUAUAGCCCGCCGUGUAAUACCCUGGGGGGGACUGAGGUUCGCGCAUCUGCAAGGAU
Molecule: ribosomal RNA, 535 nt
Filed under: Fusarium redolens
Lineage: Eukaryota; Fungi; Ascomycota; Sordariomycetes; Hypocreales; Nectriaceae
Description: eukaryotic LSU rRNA
Rfam family: Eukaryotic large subunit ribosomal RNA
Source: RNAcentral